Molecule: RNA transcript, 6640 nt
Organism: Andrographis paniculata
Lineage: Eukaryota; Viridiplantae; Streptophyta; Magnoliopsida; Lamiales; Acanthaceae
Exons: 13
Source: RefSeq, a predicted model, not a curated record
UUUUGUUUUCAUUUUCUCCAAUCCAUCUAUUACGAAGAGUUAGAGUUCUGAUUUGCAAUUAUUGGUUUUGUUAUGUGUUCCUAAGAUGUCCAGAGCUUCGAAUUAACCCUACACAUCAGAGUACUCGAAGAUGAGCUCUAAAUCCUAUGGCCUGUUGUUAUAAUAAAGAACUGUGAACUAGUUACUUCUUUCUGAGCUACUUGAACAACUAAAAGGCUGGAUGGAGACCACCACUGGAGUGCAGGCUAUUCCAGUGAUGCAGCUCUUCCAUAGAUUGUCAUCAGCUGUUGGGGGUCCCUUUGUUGAUAGUGUAGAAGCUGAGAGCUUAAAUUUGGAGAAGCUGAUUAAGUGGUUUCUUGAUGAGAUGAAAAUUAACCAACCGUUUGUAGCCCGCACCUGCUCAUCUUUUGGGGAAGUUUCUAUUCUUAUCUUCAUGUUUUUCACCAUUAUGCUUCGUAACUGGAACCAACCGGCCAGUGAUGUUAGUGCAUCAAAAUCUUGUGGGACAACAGAUACAUCAGAGAAAAUGACAAUCCAGACGCACUCUUCCAUGUCAUUAUCCAAUUCAUCUAUGUCGGAUGGCCAAGAAAAGGGUGACUUUACCUCUUGUCUUCAUAGAGCAUGUGGCUAUCUUAUGCAGCAAGUAUUUGUUAAUUAUCUCAUGGAUAUCCUGCAGCAGCUUGUGCAUAUCUUCAAGACUCCUGUUACUGCUGAUACUCAUGGAUUGACCCAUGGUUUUGGCUGUGGUGCAUUGUUAACCGUUAGGAGAGAGCUCCCUGCUGGUAACUUUUCACCAUUUUUCUCAGAUUCAUACUCAAAAUUGCACCGUUGAGAUCUCUUUGCCGACUAUCACAGACUGUUGUUGGAGAACACAUUUCGUUUGGUAUACUGUUUAAUUCGCCCUGAAAAGCAUGAUAAAGGGGGGGAAAAAGAUAAGACUUACAAGACUUCUUCUGGAAAAGAUUUGAAACUCGAUGGAUAUCAGGAUGUUCUCUGCAGCUACAUCAACAAUUCAAAUACGACGUUUGUCCGGAGAUAUGCUAGGAGGCUGUUUCUGCAUAUAUGUGGGAGUAAGACACAUUACUACAGUGUGAGGGACUCUUGGCAGUUCUCAAGUGAAAUUAAGAAGCUCUACAAGCACAUCAAUAAGUCUGGUGGAUUUCAAUCUUCCAUCUCUUAUGAAAGGAGUGUGAAAAUAGUCAAGUGUCUCUCCACCAUUGCUGAAGUUUUUGCUGCAAGACCUAGAAACUGGCAGAAAUAUUGCUUGAGGCACAGUGAUGUCUUGCCUUUCCUCAUAAAUGGACUUUUCACCUUCGGAGAAGAAUGUGUUGUUCAAACACUGAAACUUUUAAAUUUGGCCUUCUACACAAGAAAGGAUGCCAAUCACACUUCACAGAAGGUUGAAAGUGGAGGAGAUGGAGCUAUAAGUUCAAAUAAGUUGGGGCUUCAAUCUGUUGAGUCUAAGAAAAAGAAGAAAGGUGAAGAAGGAAGUGAAUCUACUAAAGAGAAAUCUUACAUGGAUAUGGAACAGGUGUUGCAUGUCUUCACUGACCGUGGUGACGAUUUUCUGAAGCAAUUUAUUGACACAUUUUUGUUAGAAUGGAAUUCAAGCAUUGUGCGUGCGGAAGCCAAGUGUGUCGUACUUGGUGCUUGGCACCAUGGCAAACAGCCAUUCAAGGAGACACUGUUAUCUGUGCUCCUGCAGAAGGUGGAGUCAAAGACACGAUUGCAAUUGGUUCAUUGAGUUUAUUGUAAGCAAACAGAAAAUCUCGCAACUGCAGUCCCAAAGAAUAUAAAUGCAACAUGAGUACUACGCGGUCUUGGAUGUACAAUAGAAUGCAAAAUGGUAUUCUGAAUAGGGAUUUUAUUGUUGGGGUAGACAAUUUCUUAAGUACUGUAUGACCAGUCCAGAGGUGUAUAGGAUCGUUGCAAGAAUAUCAGAUUUCUUCCUUUCGAUGAUGUGAAAUACCACUUGUACUCAAGAGGAGUCGUUCGUUUUUAUGAAAGAUGGACAUGUCAUGGUGAGGAGCAUGACGGGAGUGGUAGCUCUAAUCAAUCAAACAGACAAGUACCAGAAAGUUUUGUUGAACCUGCAAUGGGUGAUUACACCCAAAUGGUGAUGGACGCUGGAGGUCCCGAUUUUGAGGCACGUGUUGUGGAAGCUGAAGAACCGAACCCAAAUGAUAAGAAAUUAUAUGACCUUCUCAGUGCGGCUGACAAGGAGUUAUGGGAGGGUUGCACAAAGGCAACUUUAUUAUCCACUGUGGCGAGGAUGCUAACUAUCAAAGCAGAUUUUAACUUGUCUGUGCGAUGGUAUGAUGCACAGUGCCAGCUAAUGCACGAUAUCAUGCCAGAGGACAAUUGUUUCGUGAAGAAUUUUUAUGAAACAAAAAAAUUGAUUGAGGGUUUGGGAUUGCCGGCACAAAAGAUUGACUGUUGUCAGUUGGGAUGUAUGUUAUUCUGGAAAGAAGAUGAGUGCUUAGAGUGUUGUAAGUUUUUUGAAAAACCACAUUAUAAAGUAAAAAAUGGGUGAUGGAGGCCGAUACAGUACAUGUUUUACUUGCCCAUCACACCAAGGUUGAAACGUCUAUUUGUAUCUACAAGGACGGCUUCGUAUAUGCGGUGGCAUGCGGGUCAUCGUCAUGAAAGUGGAGAUGUGUUGUGGCACCCGAGUGAUACGAAUGCUUGGAAGCAUCUCGAUGCACUAUUUCCCUCUUUCGGAAUGGAGGCAGGGAAUGUACGUUUGGGUCUUUGCACCGAUGGAUUCCAACCAUUUGGACAAUUAGGAAGACAAUAUUCUUGUUGGCCCAUAGUUGUGACACCGUACAACCUUCCCCCAAAUAUGUGCCUGAAAGAUGAAUAUUUGUUUCUUUCUGUCGUAGUACCGGGUGGUGCAAAUCCAAAACAAAAGAUUGAUGUAUAUUUGCAGCCACUUAUCGAGGAGCUGAACAUUCUAUGGUGCACUGGAGUUGAAACAUUUGAUGCAUCUCGUGGACAAUUUAAUCAUGAAAGUUGCACUAUUAUGGACUAUAGGUGAUCUACCUGCCUAUUCGAUGAUGUCUGGGUGGGGGACCUCUGGAAAGACUGCUUGCCCAAUAUGUCAGGAACAACAAUGGCUUUCACUCUAUUAAAUGGUUGCAAACAGUCGUGGUUUGAUGCUCAUCGUAAGUUUCUUCCCCAGAAUCACCCGUACCGUUUUGAUCGAUAGAAAUUUAAAAAAAGAAUUACCGACUUCAAUCCCCCGCCACCUAUCAAAACGGGAGCAGAACAACUCCAAGAGAUAGAUGGUUAUGGGUUUCUGAAAGUAACAGAGUUAGAUGCUACUGAUGUGAAUCAAAGGCUUGCCCGUGUGUGUGGAUGGCAGAAAAGAAGUAUUUUCUGGGACUUACCUUAUUGGAAGGAUUUAUUGGUACGACAUAAUCUGGAUGUUAUGCAUAUUGAGAAAAAUGUAUUCGAGAAUAUAUUCAACACGGUAAUGGAUGUGAAGGGUAAGACAAAGGAUAAUGCAAAGGCACGGGCGGACAUGACAGAACUUUUUGAUAGCAAAGAACUCGAAUAUGACAUUGUCCGUCAAUACUACCCUCCAGCUGCGUAUACAUUGGAUAAACCUCGUAGGAAAGAAUUCCUUACGUGGGUUGAAAAGUUGAAGAUGCCUGAUGGAUACAUGUCCAACCUCGGCCGAUGUGUGGACAUGACGAAAUAUCGGUUGUUUGGAAUGAAUAGCCACGAUUGUCAUGUCUUCAUGCAAAGGCUCAUUCCAAUUGGGUUUCGAGAGCUCUUGCCUAAGAAGAUUUGGGAGCCACUAACCGAGUUAAGCAACUUCUUUCGUCGGCUUACGUCAAAAGUUGUUGCUGUUAGUGAUAUGGAGAUGUUAAGAGUCUGAAAUACCCGUGAUCCUUUGCAAAUUGGAGACAAUAUUUGUUCCAGGUUUCUUUAAUAGUAUGGAAAAUCUUCCCGUUCAUCGACCACACGAGAUGAAAAUUGCUGGGCCUAUUCAAUUUCGUUGGAUGUAUCCUUUCGAGAGGUUUUUGAAUCGUCUCAAAAGGAUGGUUAAAAAUAAGGCCCAUGUUGAAGGGUCAAUUGUAAAUGCAUAUCUCGUAAGGGAGGCUAGCUUCUUUUGCUCGCACUAUUUUGAAAAACACGUCUAUACGCGUGCGAGGAAUGUUCCUAGACAAGAUGACGGUGGUGCGCCUAUUUAUGGAAAUAGUGAUACAUUGCCUGUGUUCAACCAUCCAGCCCGAUUGCAAGGCAAACCCAAGAAAUGGUUUAUAACUCCUAGAGAACGGAAUGCAAUUCAGACAUACUUUCUCCUAAAUGUCCCCGAAAUAGAUCCGUUCAUAUUGAUCUUUGACAAUGAAUUGAGGCAAUCGAAUCCACGUAUUUCAGAGGUCAAGGCUGCUUCGCAGCUUCAAAAGAACUUUAUAACAUGGUUCUACGAAUAUGUAUGUAUUUGGUGUUGACAUACAACUACUUUACUGAUCUAGUAAUAUGGUAUAAUUAUCUACUUCUCUAUGUUAGGCGGAGAACCAACAUGCUUUGGAUAAAAUUUUUCAAGAUAUUGUGCACGGCCCGUUGGUGGAGGUUACCACAUAUCCAAUUUGUUUUAUCAACGGUUACCGUUUCCACACGGAGACACAUGGAUCAAACAGGUUAACUUAUAACUGCGGGGUUUGCAUAGAUGCUGGAGGGUUAGAGUAUUAUGGAAAUAUUCAAGAAAUUAUGGAGGUUGAGUUUUAUGCUCUACCCAUAAAACGAUGCAUCUUCUUUCGUUGUGAUUGGUUCGAUCCAAGUAGUGGUGUCGGAACAAAGAAGCAUGAAAAUUACAACUUGGUUGAGGUAAACAAACGGAAAAAAUUAUGUACUUAUGAACCUUUUAUACUUGGUCUGCAAGCUACGCAGGUCAGCUAUAUUUCAUUCCCAAGUUUGAGAAAGGACAAAGAUGAUUGGUUGGUUGUUUGUCGGGUGAAACCUCGAGGUUGGAUGGAAUUGGUAGACGGAGAAGUGCUCACUCAACCAGAAACUGAGACGUACCAAGAUCCAGUUGUUGAAGCAUGCAUGAUUGAAUCUGUUAGAAUCGGGGAAUCUAUAAAUUUGGUAUCAACAAGUGGCGGAGUUGGUAUACCCUUGCAAAUGUCUGAUGACUCUGAUACAGAGGAAGAAAUCUUUCUUGAGACAUCUAGUUCUGAUGACAAUCAAUUUUACUCCUUGAGUUCGGAUGAUGAUGUGCCUUAUGACUAGAUGUCGCAGGGAUCCAAUGAACAACAACGAAGCCAGAACAUCCGCCGUCUGGCAAGGUCACAAAUGUUGUUGUAGCAAGCGGAAACGUAAGAGGAGCAACAUGAGCCGAGUUUUUCUGAGACCCAAGUAGGAGAAGGGUCAGGUACGUCUGCAGAUGCUACACCGGCCGAGAAUACACAUGCUACCACAUCACAUGUUGGAGAUUCUCAAGCAGAUAUUGUUGUUGGAGACGACCCACGUGUCGAAGUGAGAGUCGAGUCGGGUGGGAGCAUCUUCUGGCCACGUGAUGUUUCGAUUAAGUUCCGAGAUGUUUUCAAAUCAAAAUUAGUGAAGGAAGGAAGCAAGGGGCUCUCCGUACCAGAUGAUACACGCCGGUGGUAUACGACUUAGAUGAAGAAGUACAUCAUGUGGGAUCCGGCUUAUGAGGAAAAAGUCUUAAAGAAACUUAAUACUAGGGCACAAGAGGCCUAUAACAAGUGGAUGAGUGAUAUUCGAGGUGGGCGGGAUAAAACCGCACACAAGAUUAUUCCCACUGCGGUGCUCGGUGCAUGGAAAAGGGCUUGGAGCUCCAAUGAUGCACAAAAAAGGUCAAAGACUGCCAAGACUAAUAGACGUCGGGGCAAUUUAGCAAAUAAUCCAGAGUCGACGUAUACCGGGGGAUCACGCUCGUUCAUGGAGACGGCAAAAAAGUUGGUUAGUAGUAAUUUUACUUAUAUAUAAUUGUGUAUUCUUUUUGUUUGAUAUUCGAUAUGCAAUGCAUAAUCUUGAGAAAUGGGGAACGUAUGAGUGGGCUCACACGAGGAAGCACGAUAAAAAAUCAUCGUGCAACAUGAAGGCUACCCGAGUAGCGGAUAGAAUGAAACAUAUUGAAGAGAGGAUGUCCCAACUUGGGGACAAUGACUAUAGCAAGGACGAGGCGUUUCUAAGCUUAGUCCCCCUUGAUAAGAAAAAACGUAUAUUUGGGUUGGGAUCAUUGGCAUCAACGGUUCCUACUGAACAAUCAUCAUUUAACAGUGACGGCCGCACCCCUACAGUUGAACCUACAGAUAUGGAAUGCAUAAUGAGAAUAGAACACGAGCAGCAGAUUAUGAAGGAACAAAAUAUGACCAUCAUGGAACAGUUACGGAAGAUUCAGGCUCACUUAGACCGUCGUAACCCGGAGGGCGAUACCGGUGCUCCCCCGAUCGUGUGAUGUAUGUUUGCUUUAUAUUUCGUUUACUUUUGGUGUUUUCUGAAUUGAUGGAAUGUUUGCUUCAUAUUUCGUUUACUUUUGGUAUAUUCUGAAUUGAUGGAAUUUUUGCUUCAUGUUUCGUUUACUUUUGGUAUUUUCUGAAUUGAUGGAAUGUUUCCUCCAUAUUUCGUUUACUUUUUGGUAUUUUCUGAAUUGAUGGAAUGUUUACUU